This 543-nucleotide unclassified non-coding RNA is filed under the name Hevea brasiliensis (rubber tree). The record is from RNAcentral. Lineage: Eukaryota; Viridiplantae; Streptophyta; Magnoliopsida; Malpighiales; Euphorbiaceae.
GAUAAAUCUAAAUAUUAGACAAUAUUAUAACUUCACUAAAUCUCUACAGCCAUUUAUUAUCAAUGCUUUUAAUUAUUAUAAUAAUAAGUUUUCUUACAAAAAUGGAAAAUAUAAAGAUGAAAGUGGGCAUACCAAGAGCGAUCCCGUCUGCAUCUUCAUAAUAUCUUGCCGUAUUUCCUCGGAUAUGUUCUUGUCCAGCUGCAGGAAGCAUAAUGAUUAUUGAUAGUUGAUUUGUGAUUAAUUUGGAGAAAUCAAAUCAAUCAUGCAGUACUACUGCAAAACAAAUCUCUUGCAUAUAAUUGAUCAUAAAAAAUCACACAUACACGUGUAUGUGUAUAUAUAUACAGACACACACUAAUCGUGGAAAAUUAGAACUUGAUAGAUAAUUAAUUAAAUUGCAGGAAGGAUCCAUCACUAUUUAAGCAAAUAAGUAAUUAAUUAAGAAGUGUAGAAACGCUUAAUUAUAUGCGCCCAUAUUCAAUGAAAAAUUAACGUAAAUAAAAGAUUUUUUUUAUCUAAAUUUAAUUUAAUAUGAAUUUAAAA